GUCUGUUUGGAGUUAUAAAGAGUUUAACCUGCCCCCUGAUGAAUAAUUUAAAGGGCCGCGGUAUUAUGACCGUGCAAAGGUAGCAUAAUCAUUAGGUUUUUAAUUGAAAUCUUGUAUGAAUGGUUGGACAAAAGAAAUUCUGUCUUUAAAAUUAAUUUUGAAUUUAACUUUUAAGUGAAAAGGCUUAAAUAUUCUAAAGGGACGAUAAGACCCUAUAAAACUUUACAUUAUAAUUAUAUUUAAUUGAAUUUAAAUAUAAAAAUUUAAUUUAUUUAUUUGUUAUGUUGGGGAGACAUGAAUAGAAUUAAUUUCAUCUGCUUAAAAUUUUUAAACAAAAAUUUAUGAGAUAAAGAUCCUUAAUAAAGAUUGAAAGAUUAAGUUACUUUAGGGAUAACAGCGUUAUUUCUUUAGAGAGUUCUUAUCGAAAAAGAAGAUUGCGACCUCGAUGUUGAAUUAAAAUACCUGUAUAAUGAAGGAGUUAUAUUAGGAGGUCUGUUCGACCUUUAAAAUUUUACAUGAUUUGAGUUCAAACCGGUGUGAG
This 541-nucleotide ribosomal RNA is filed under the name Johora tahanensis. RNAcentral's name for it is "16S rRNA". It matches the Rfam family "Bacterial large subunit ribosomal RNA", at positions 1831 to 2625 of the family's 2925-position model. The record is from RNAcentral. Lineage: Eukaryota; Metazoa; Arthropoda; Malacostraca; Decapoda; Potamidae.